UCUAGGCCUACUAUGCAUCAGGCUUUUUUGCACUAACCUCAUUUAAUUCUCAUGGCAAUCUAGUAAAAUCAAAAUUAGCAAUUCUAUUUUAAAGACAAGGAAACUGAGACUCAAGAGAACACAGUUGCUUUCUAAUGUCCUAUAAUUAACAAGUGGUAGAGUUUGACCCUAACUCAGAUUUGCCCAGCUCCAGAGCCCAUGCCAAAGCUCAUUUUAAUAAACUCAUCAUCUACAAAAUCAUGACACCGUCUCAUGCACUAAAGAACAAUAGCAUCGGAGAGGCUUGGCUCCUAUCCUCAAGAAUCCCACAGCCCAGGAGGAGCAUGAAACAUGCAAACAACCAAGAAGGACUGUCCUGGGGAAGAGCCUCCAGCAGACAGGUCAUCAACCCCCUGCUGGGGAAGAUGGGCAGGAGAGGAAUGGAUCAGGACCACUGAGAUGGAGAAAGCUUCAAAAAGCAAAUGAGGUUUGAUCUGGCCUUGAACGAUGAGUAGAGUUUCAACAGAUGGAGAAAGUGUGGCAGAGUCUUAUUUUUAAUUUAAGGAGACUUCUGAGGGCUUUGUAUUCAGUACCAGGUAAAGAACACCCAAGCUCAGUAUUUUACAAAGUAACAGGAGUCUUGUUGUCAACUAUCAAUUUAAAUUUCAGUCUGUAUAGACUGCACCGGUGGGUGGUAGAGACUUUGUCCUGUUGUCUUGUGUGGACUGUGCCUGCUGUAGUCAAGCCUCUUCCCUUUGGCAUCUCACUUUUAUGGUAGGCAGUUUUGUGACUACAACAUUGGUCAACAUGUAAAUUCUAAUAAACCUCACAAUUAGCAAGCCCUAGAAAUCCUGCUUAUUGCAUACAUUUUAGAUACUGAGUGGUGAGUACUUCUCUGUGGUAAAGAUCUUGACACAGCAAACACUGCUGAUGAUAUGAUUGUGGUUCUUGGUGAUCGAGGGCACUUUGUUAUCCCAGCACCCAGGACCUUGACCCCCACUACACUGCUAUGAUUCUCACAUGCAGGCAGUUGUACCCUGGGGCUAAGAGUAAGUUCACAAUGUGGUAGAUACCGGGCGCUGCCAGUCACGUGAGGGUGAACACAGACUGGAUGUCAUAUGAGUACACACCCUUCCUGGUGCAGGUUUUGAUGGCAUCCCCAAGAAUGGUCUUAGGAUGAAAUCGACAGGUUUUCAUGGAAAACUGAGCCACCAGUUGACGUAAGCUUCCGACUGCACCAGCCGGUCCUCUCCCUCCUCCUCCUCCCUGCCUGCCUCUCUCUUCCCUCCCAUCUCUUUUCCCCUCCCUUUCUCCCUCCCCUUCUUCCCUUCUUCCUUCCCUCCAGCUCCUUUCUUCCUGUUUCUCCAUCUUCCUCCUUUAUCCUCACCUUCUUUCCUUCCUCGCUCUCCAUUCCUUCCUACUUCCUUCCCUCCCGCCUACCUCCUCUGGCCCUUCCUCUCUUUUUGUUCCACAGCUUUGCACUCCAUCUCCCACUGGUCUUCCUGCUGAGCCUCUGGAGGGUUUGUCUGUCCAGAAGACGGUUGUUCUGCAUCUGCUUCUUCCCACAUCUCAGAUUAGCCCUGGGACCAGCCAGAAUUUCCAAGAGCAUGUUGAGGGCUGAUGCCACUUAAUGACAUUCAGGCCACAGAGCAAGGAGCAGCUGCCCUGCAGGUGGUAUUCCAGAAAUGCUCCCCAGCACCAGCAGGAAGCUGGCCUGGGGCAUUCCAUCUGCAGACUGGCCAGAGAAGCAGCAGGCAGCGGGGAGGAGCAUCACACAGACUGAUCGGAGAAAACCAAUCCAGAGUGGUGGCUGCUCUGGAGGGAGGUGAAAUAUUAUUUUUAAAUGUGGGACACAAGGAAGGGUCCAGCCUGAAGGGGCAACUAUCGGUAAGCCUAAACAAAAGACGCAGGGAUGUGGAAGGCUUCAGAAGGGCCAGCUGCUCCAGGGUAAAAACAGUGGCUUGGGUUCCAGGAAACAGAGCUGCAGUCCUGGCUCUGCCUCUGGGCACCUUUGAGGCAUUGGAUAAUUCAGAGAACGAAUGUUUCUGGGGCUUCCAUAAGUAUGAGAGGAGCAGUUUGCUCUUUGGUUUCUAUGAUUUUAUAAACAAGAAAUGCUAGCUUUAUGGUCUUUUCGUAUUUACUGCCUUCUUCCCUGGGAGGAGAAGAAAGUCAUGUGGCACAAGUUGAAGGGCAUCCCGCCCUUAGGAUUUCAUGGGAGAUAUUAGAAAGGGACAGCAGGGCAGUUGGACAGAGGUGGCUUCAUUUCCAUCCGUGGUCUCUGCCAGCAGGGUUGCCCUGGGCAGGUCUCUUCUUCGCUAGACCAGCUUCCCAAUCCCAAGUGGGAAGCAUCUUAGGGAACCUGAAAGGUUGUGUCAAGAAUCAGCAGUGCUGUGUCAUCACCUAACACAGUCUUUGACACAGGGUAGACUUUCUAUCAAUCCCAGAUGGCUUUAUUAUCAGCAGUUAAAACUGUCAAAUCACAGCAGCAGAGGCAGGAGGGACAUUACAGCAGUUACUGUAAUUUUUACAAUGGAAGUGCUGUCCACAGGGAAGGGGAAUCUCAAAUGGCAUUUUAUGGACAAACCCUGACACGUACAAGCCGUGGACAAUACUGCCUAGCCACCAAAAGACACAAGCUGUCUAGCCACAGCAGGGCUCGGAGAAAGCCGAGUGGACAUGACUAAGCCAGAGGAGCCGGCGUGAGAGGAGCCACUGCACCAUUCCAGCCGAACAGCCUCCUGGAAAAGACAAAGGCAGCGACACAGGAAGAUGGAGGUGACCAGGUGUCUGGGGAGG
This is a non-coding RNA of Ictidomys tridecemlineatus (thirteen-lined ground squirrel), 2775 nucleotides long. NCBI's taxonomy places the organism in Eukaryota, Metazoa, Chordata, Mammalia, Rodentia, Sciuridae. The record is from RefSeq and is a predicted model, not a curated record.